GCAUCCCUCUCGGUCUUAGGCACCCUUCAGGUCGACCCCUAUUGCCCUCGCUGUCUUCCUGCACCUCUCGGACCAGCCUAGGUUAGUUCCGGAACCCUUCUUUUUCUUGUUGUUCUUUUGUUUUUCUUCCUCCGCAUUUCGCCCGUUCAGUUUCUCCAUGAGCGUCUUGUUUUCUAUUUUUUUAAUUUUUUCGAGAGUUUUUUGAGAUUUUCAUUUGAUUCAAAAUGUCCUCCAACACUUCCUCCUCUAGCAGUUCUAGGAGUUCGUCAGCUACAGCCCUCCAAAAUCCUAGUACUGUAGAUGGACCUCGUUCGGUCUUUGUACCUGACACCA
Molecule: long non-coding RNA, 333 nt
Filed under: Elaeis guineensis (African oil palm)
Lineage: Eukaryota; Viridiplantae; Streptophyta; Magnoliopsida; Arecales; Arecaceae
Description: long non-coding RNA (EGUI_LNC054226)
Source: RNAcentral